AUAAGGAUUACUUUGCAAGUUGAUAACUGAAGUCAUUAAUCAUCACUCUUCCUAUCACAAUUAUGAUAAAAUGCAUCAGUGUUUUCCUCUUAUAAAAAACAUCCAAUUAAAGGCUGAGGCAGAGGUUCUCCUUUGUGUUGUAUUCUUUUUAACAGUGGGAUGAUGCACUGAAGGUUAAAGAAUGGGAUGCCAUUGCUAUGGAGCAGUAUCUGAGAAACUGGGAGUUUCUCAGCACUACUCUUGUCUCAGCAUUUUCCUGCCAGUGUAGAAGUCUCCAGUUCUUUACAUCCUGAGAUGCUCCCUGGUUGCAGCUGAUGAAUUCACAACUCUCAUUCCAUCCUAACUCCUGCAAUGCAAAGUAAUGCAGUUAUUAAGAAGAUCUUCAUUUUAUGCUAGUGAUAAAUCUGCACUUAGAGAAGUGGGAGGUGAAGUGCUGUUAUAAAUGCUUUGUAUCUGACUUGAAACAUGUUGUUAGUUUCCAUUUGAAAGACUCUCUAUUUAAUUUCUAACAUGUAUUUUUGGAUAGAUAAAUGAAUUAAUUCCAUUCUUGAGUAAA
Molecule: long non-coding RNA, 556 nt
Organism: Pogoniulus pusillus (Red-fronted tinkerbird)
Lineage: Eukaryota; Metazoa; Chordata; Aves; Piciformes; Lybiidae
Exons: 2
Source: RefSeq, a predicted model, not a curated record